Molecule: long non-coding RNA, 327 nt
Organism: Photinus pyralis (common eastern firefly)
Lineage: Eukaryota; Metazoa; Arthropoda; Insecta; Coleoptera; Lampyridae
Exons: 3
Source: RefSeq, a predicted model, not a curated record
GGUUAAUUAAUAAUGGGAACGUAAUUACCGAAAUGGUAUAAAACACGCUUCGUUCGUGAAGAACACCAAGUUGCUUAGGUUUCUACAACAAAGCAAGUGAAAAAUGAAGGCAGUACUUUUGCUUACGUUUGUGUUCGCACUUUUGGGUUUAAUUCGUGCCAAUCCGUCUCCAAAUCCGAUGCCCAGAGCUAAACCUCAGUAUUGGAACUACGGAUACGGAAUGCCGUACGGAAUGGGCUACGGAAUGGGUUAUGGAUACUAUUUCUGAAACACUUAAAAAUGUUUGUAUGAUUUCAUGACUGAAAAUAAAAUGACCUCUACUUAUUA